AUGAACGCUGGCGGCGUGCUUAACACAUGCAAGUCGAACGAAGCCCUCGGGCUUAGUGGCGGACGGGUGAGUAACGCGUGAGAAUCUACCUUCGAGAUGGGGACAACCGUUGGAAACGACGGCUAAUCCCCAAUAAGCCGAAAGGUGAAAGGGUUUCCGCUCGCAGAGGAGCUCGCGUCCGAUUAGUUAGUUGGUGGGGUAAGAGCCUACCAAGGCAGCGAUCGGUAGCUGGUCUGAGAGGAUGAGCAGCCACACUGGGACUGAGACACGGCCCAGACUCCUACGGGAGGCAGCAGUGGGGAAUUUUCCGCAAUGGGCGCAAGCCUGACGGAGCAACGCCGCGUGUGGGAAGAAGGCUCUUGGGCUGUCAACCACUUUUCUCAGGGAAGAAGUCCUGACGGUACCUGAGGAAUCAGCCUCGGCUAACUCCGUGCCAGCAGCCGCGGUAAUACGGAGGAGGCAAGCGUUAUCCGGAAUUAUUGGGCGUAAAGCGUCCGCAGGGGGCACUUCAAGUCUGCUGUCAAAGGUCGGAGCUUAACUCCGGUUCGGCAGUGGAAACUGGAGUGCUAGAGGGCGACAGGGGUAGAGGGAAUUCCCAGUGUAGCGGUGAAAUGCGUAGAGAUUGGGAAGAACACCGGUGGCGAAAGCGCUCUACUGGGUCGCACCUGACCCUCAGGGACGAAAGCUAAGGUAGCGAAAGGGAUUAGAUACCCCUGUAGUCUUAACCGUAAACGAUGGAUACUAGGCGUGGUUUGUAUCGACCCAAGCCGUGCCGAAGC
Molecule: ribosomal RNA, 779 nt
Filed under: uncultured organism
Description: bacterial SSU rRNA
Rfam family: Bacterial small subunit ribosomal RNA
Source: RNAcentral